RNAcentral lists this ribosomal RNA (407 nucleotides) under uncultured bacterium. RNAcentral's name for it is "partial 16S ribosomal RNA". It matches the Rfam family "Bacterial small subunit ribosomal RNA", at positions 30 to 526 of the family's 1533-position model. The record is from RNAcentral.
AUUGAACGCUGGCGGCAGGCCUAACACAUGCAAGACGAGCGGAGCGGCGGACGGGUGAGUAAUGCCUAGGUAUCUGCCUGGGAGUGGGGGAUAACGUCCGGAAACGGGCGCUAAUACCGCAUACUAUCAGAUGAGCCUAGGUCGGAUUAGCUAGUUGGUGGGGCAAAGGCAUACCAAGGAAACGAUCCGUAACUGGUCUGAGAGGAUGAUCAGUCAACCUGGAACUGAGACACGGCACAGACUCCUACGGUAGGCAGCAGUGGGGAAUAUUCGCCAAUGGGCGAAAUCCUGAUCCAGCCAUGCCGCGUGUGUGACGAAGGUCUUCGGAUUGUAAAGCACUUUAAGUUGGGAGGCGGUACCAACAGAAUAAGCACCGGCUAACUUCGUGCCAGCAGCCGCGGUAAUUC